AGAGUUUGAUCAUGGCUCAGAACGAACGCUGGCGGCAGGCCUAACACAUGCAAGUCGAACGCCCCGCAAGGGGAGUGGCAGACGGGUGAGUAACGCGUGGGAACGUACCUUUCGGUUCGGAAUAACCCGGGGAAACUCGGGCUAAUACCGGAUACGUCCGCAAGGAGAAAGAUUUAUCGCCGAAAGAUCGGCCCGCGUCGGAUUAGCUAGUUGGUGAGGUAACGGCCCACCAAGGCGACGAUCCGUAGCUGGUCUGAGAGGAUGAUCAGCCACACUGGGACUGAGACACGGCCCAGACUCCUACGGGAGGCAGCAGUGGGGAAUAUUGGACAAUGGGCGAAAGCCUGAUCCAGCCAUGCCGCGUGAGUGAAGAAGGCCUUAGGGUUGUAAAGCUCUUUCAGCGGGGAAGAUAAUGACGGUACCCGCAGAAGAAGUCCCGGCUAACUUCGUGCCAGCAGCGGCGGUAAUUC
Molecule: ribosomal RNA, 470 nt
Filed under: uncultured bacterium
Lineage: Bacteria
Description: bacterial SSU rRNA
Rfam family: Bacterial small subunit ribosomal RNA
Source: RNAcentral